GGCGGUUCUCAGGUGACACACCCCUGAAUUGGGUUCCCUCCUCUCUGGUUCCAGGUGUGUCACUUGAGAACUGCA
Molecule: non-coding RNA, 75 nt
Organism: Myotis brandtii (Brandt's bat)
Lineage: Eukaryota; Metazoa; Chordata; Mammalia; Chiroptera; Vespertilionidae
Source: Rfam